UCCGUAGGCGGCCAUGUAAGUGGAAGGUGAAAUCUUUCGGCUUAACCGAAAAACUGCCUUUUAAACUGUAUGGCUUGAGGAUGGAAGAGGAGAGCGGAACUGUCAGUGUAAAGGUGAAAUUUGUGGAUAUUGACAGGAACGCCCGUGGAGAAGUCGGCUCUCUGGUCCAUAUCUGACGCUGAGGGACGAAAGCUAGAGUAGCAAAUA
Molecule: ribosomal RNA, 207 nt
Filed under: uncultured bacterium
Lineage: Bacteria
Description: partial 16S ribosomal RNA
Rfam family: Bacterial small subunit ribosomal RNA
Source: RNAcentral